UACGUAGGGUGCAAGCGUUGUCCGGAAUUAUUGGGCGUAAAGAGCUCGUAGGCGGUCUGUCACGUCGGCUGUGAAAACCCGAGGCUCAACCUCGGGCCUGCAGUCGAUACGGGCAAACUAGAGUACUGCAGGGGAGACUGGAAUUCCUGGUGUAGCGGUGAAAUGCGCAGAUAUCAGGAGGAACACCGGUGGCGAAGGCGGGUCUCUGGGCAGUAACUGACGCUGAGGAGCGAAAGCCAGGGGAGCAAACGGG
This 253-nucleotide ribosomal RNA is filed under the name uncultured bacterium. RNAcentral's name for it is "partial 16S ribosomal RNA". It matches the Rfam family "Bacterial small subunit ribosomal RNA", at positions 524 to 776 of the family's 1533-position model. The record is from RNAcentral.